RNAcentral lists this ribosomal RNA (470 nucleotides) under uncultured Methanosaeta sp. Its description in RNAcentral is "bacterial SSU rRNA". It matches the Rfam family "Archaeal small subunit ribosomal RNA", at positions 871 to 1337 of the family's 1478-position model. The record is from RNAcentral. Lineage: Archaea; Methanobacteriati; Methanobacteriota; Methanomicrobia; Methanotrichales; Methanotrichaceae.
GACGGGGAGCACCACAACGGGUGGAGCUUGCGGUUUAAUUGGAUUCAACGCCGGAAAUCUUACCGGGACCGACAGCAAUAUGAAGGCCAGGCUGAAGACUUUGCCGGAUUAGCUGAGAGGUGGUGCAUGGCCGUCGUCAGUUCGUACUGUGAAGCAUCCUGUUAAGUCAGGCAACGAGCGAGACCCACGCCCACAGUUGCCAGCGUACUCUCUGGAGUGACGGGUACACUGUGGGACCGCCGCUGCUAAAGCGGAGGAAGGAAUGGGCAACGGUAGGUCAGUAUGCCCCGAAUAUCCCGGGCUACACGCGAGCUACAAUGGUUGGUACAAUGGGUACCUACCCCGAAAGGGGACGGGAAUCUCCUAAAACCAAUCUUAGUUCGGAUUGAGGGCUGCAACUCGCCCACAUGAAGCUGGAAUCCGUAGUAAUCGCGUUUCAAAAUAGCGCGGUGAAUAUGUCCCUGCUCCUU